This 253-nucleotide ribosomal RNA is filed under the name uncultured bacterium. Its description in RNAcentral is "partial 16S ribosomal RNA". It matches the Rfam family "Bacterial small subunit ribosomal RNA", at positions 524 to 776 of the family's 1533-position model. The record is from RNAcentral.
GACAGAGGGUGCAAACGUUGCUCGGAAUUACUGGGCGUAAAGCGCGUGUAGGCGGACCGGAAAGUCGGGCGUGAAAUCCCUGGGCUCAACCCAGGAACUGCACUCGAAACUUCCGGCCUUGAGUGGUGGAGAGGGUAGUGGAAUUCCUGGUGUAGAGGUGAAAUGCGUAGAUAUCGUAAGGAAGACCAGUGGCGAAGGCGGGUCUCUGGACAGUUCCUGACGCUGAGGCACGAAGGUCAGGGGAGCAAACGGG